RNAcentral lists this ribosomal RNA (1018 nucleotides) under uncultured rumen bacterium. RNAcentral's name for it is "bacterial SSU rRNA". It matches the Rfam family "Bacterial small subunit ribosomal RNA", at positions 48 to 1028 of the family's 1533-position model. The record is from RNAcentral.
CUAAUACAUGCAAGUCGAGCGGUAACAGGGGGUCUCACCGUUUCCUUGACACACCUAGCGUAUUAUCGUAGGGAGUGAAACUUCGAGGGAACAGCGAGACCCCGCUGACGAGCGGCGGACGGCUGAGUAACGCGUGGGAACGGACCCCAAACUGAGGGAUAACUACUCGAAAGAGUGGCUAAUACCGCAUAUGAUCUUCGGAUUAAAGCUUUCGGGCGGUUUGGGACUGGCCUGCGUACGAUUAGAUAGUUGGUAGGGUAACGGCCUACCAAGUCGACGAUCGUUAGAUGGUUUGAGAAGAUGAUCAUCCAGACUGGGACUGAGACACGGCCCAGACUCCUACGGGAGGCAGCAGUAGGGAAUCUUUCACAAUGGGCGAAAGCCUGAUGGAGCAACGCCGCGUGCAGGAUGACGGCCUUCGGGUUGUAAACUGCUUUUAUUACCGAGAAAUAUGAUGGUAGGUAUUGAAUAAGGACCGGCUAACUACGUGCCAGCAGCCGCGGUCAUACGUAGGGUCCAAGCAUUAUCCGGAUUGACUGGGUGUAAAGAGUUGCGUAGGUGGCAUGGUAAGUAGAUAGUGAAAUCUGGUGGCUCAACCAUUCAGACUGUUAUCUAAACUGCCAAGCUCGAGAGCGUUAGGGGUAGCUGGAAUUUCUAGUGUAGGAGUGAAAUCCGUAGAUAUUAGAAAGAACACCGAUAGCGUAGGCAGGCUACUGGGACGUUUCUGACACUAAGGCACGAAAGCGUGGGGAGCAAACGGGAUUAGAUACCCCGGUAGUCCACGCUGUAAACGAUGGAUGCUAGCAGUUCCCGGUAUCGACCCCGGAAGUUGCGAAGCUAACGCGUUAAGCAUCCCACCUGUGUAGUACGAUCGGAAGAUUAAAACAUAAAGGGAAUUGACGGGGACCCGCACAAGCGGUGGAGCGUGAUCUUUAAUUUCGAUGGUAACGAUAAACCUUACCAAGGCUUGACAUUCCGAGGAAGGCUCUCGAAAGAGAAUGGUGCCCUUCGGGAAACC